This is a long non-coding RNA of Herpailurus yagouaroundi (jaguarundi), 1543 nucleotides long. RefSeq lists it as uncharacterized. The record is from RefSeq and is a predicted model, not a curated record. The transcript is spliced from 2 exons. Lineage: Eukaryota; Metazoa; Chordata; Mammalia; Carnivora; Felidae.
AUAAGGAAACCAGUCCUAUCUGAUUAGGGCCCCACCCUUACGACUUCACCUAACCUUAAUUACUUCCCCAACUGCCCAGUCUCCAAGUACAGGCAUACUGGGGGCUUAAGGCUUCGCCACAUGAAUUUGGAGAGGGCACAAUCCAGUCCACAUCACCAGCCUUCUCAGUUCGUGGCCCCUGUGCUUGCACCUCGUGCACAGACUCACGCCUGCCCUUUGGAUCUGCCUGGUGGCACCGCCUCUUGGGGUUGACGUCUGGUUUCCCUUCUCAAUGGUGGCCCAUCUGGCCUUGGAUUCCUCACCCCGGGAAGCAUCCUGUUGAAACCAGUCUACCCUUGCCCUUGUCUGACACAGCCCUCCAGGGUAACGAGCACUCACACCCUUCAGGGACUCUGUGGGCUGCCUGGACGGUGUUUUCCACUCCCGCCAAACUCAUCUGCAAUCUUCGGGACUCGCCGCGACCCCUCCUAAUCCUGCAUGCCGUUUCUGCUCACCCCUCACUGCCCCCGCGGCGGGCCUCAGAGUUCCCUCCUGUGCGUCUUCUCUCUCGCCUUUAAAGCUUCCACCAAACCCUGCCGUAGAGGCCCUUUUAGGCAACAGGCUUGAGCAGUGGAAACUUGAGCAAAGGCAAAAGGGCCGAGAGUGACCGCCGAGCUGCCUGCGAACAGGCUCACGGAGCCAGGGGCCCUAACAGACCAGUGGGCUACUUACAACCGGUCACAGGUACCAAAUACACGCCACACUCCCUCACUCUGGCCCCGCACCACCGCCUGUGCAAUCUCUCCUUUGCUGUCCUGCUCGCUGCUCACUGCAGGGUGUUCCAUAAACUCCUGUCCCUUUUGUUCUGCCUUAGGUGAAUUCUUUCAGUGCUGUGCCACCUGCCCCCACUUAAUCAGUAAGCCCCACACCUAAUGCAGCGGCCAAUAUUGUGCCUGUUGGACCCACUGUUCCCUUUAGGAAGACAGGGGCUCUUGUCACCGUCUCUGACGCCUCACAGAGGGGGUUAGCACAGCGUGGGCACAGUGCACGGUAAGGGGGGGCUUGGGUUUGUUGCCUUUGAUCCCCUCCUCCCUAGUCCCUUUCGGAUUGUACCCAGGUGUGCAGUGGGGACAGUCUGCGGGGACAGAGAGGGAGUUGGCCACUUCUAGGCCGAAUGGGUGAAGAAUCUUUUGGGUUCUUAAUCAUUUGGUUUAAAAAACUAAAGCCACCGCCCUGCUUCCGGUAAACUCGAGCCCUGCUUCAGCACAACAGAUAACCUCUAAGGAGUAACUGGGUGGGGUGAUCAUUAACAUUUUCCAAGACCACUGACUCCCAGAGACCCCCUAGCUCCAGGACCUAAGUGACCUAUGAAGGACACCUAAACACCUGUCUGUGUUCUUGGAUGCCUGAGAAGACUCGUGCACCAGACCACUGUCCUCAGUAAAACCCCCAGGCACCAAACGAAGAUGAGACUCACUCUUAUUUCCUUUCCGAGGGUCCCAGACACUAUGCUUCUAUCUGCACUCUCUUUAUAUCCUCAAUAAACUCACUUCUUCUCAGCUUA